Siniperca chuatsi (mandarin fish) is the source of this 247-nucleotide long non-coding RNA. RefSeq lists it as uncharacterized. Lineage: Eukaryota; Metazoa; Chordata; Actinopteri; Centrarchiformes; Sinipercidae. The record is from RefSeq and is a predicted model, not a curated record. The transcript is spliced from 2 exons.
CAGAAAGAAAAAAAUAAAGCCAGACUCAGGUCCAGGUCCAGGUCCAGGUGGAGGAGGUGGAGCAGAAGGAGUGGAGGAGUCUCAGUGUGUCUGCAGAGACGGUGUAGAAGGACAGAGCAGCAGCAGAGAGUCCAGAUACACUGACGAUACUCUGCCACAUCCAGAGGAACACACAGGGACGAUGGUGGACUUGCCUUUGUGUCUGACAGUGGAGCUGAUCUCAGAGCAGUUCAGACUGCAGCACUGA